This 497-nucleotide ribosomal RNA is filed under the name uncultured bacterium. RNAcentral describes it as "partial 16S ribosomal RNA". It matches the Rfam family "Bacterial small subunit ribosomal RNA", at positions 28 to 507 of the family's 1533-position model. The record is from RNAcentral.
GAUGAACGCUGGCGGCGUGCCUAAUACAUGCAAGUCGAGCGAACGGACGAGAAGCUUGCUUUUCUGAUGUUAGCGGCGGACGGGUGAGUAACACGUGGAUAACCUACCUAUAAGACUGGGAUAACUUCGGGAAACCGGAGCUAAUCCCGGAUAAUAUUUUGAACCGCAUUGUUCAAAAGAGAAAGACGGCCUUGCUGUCUCUUAUAGAUGGAUCCGCGCUGCAUUGGCUAGUUGGUAAGGUAACGGCUUACCAAGGCAACGAUGCAUAGCCGACCUGAGAGGGUGAUCGGCCACACUGGAACUGAGACACGGUCCAGACUCCUACGGGAGGCAGCAGUAGGGAAUCUUCCGCAAUGGGCGAAAGCCUGACGGAGCAACGCCGCGUGAGUUAUGAAGGUCUUCGGAUCGUAAAACUCUGUUAUUAGGGAAGAACAUAUGUGUAAGUAACUGUGCACAUCUUGACGGUACCUAAUCAGAAAGCCACGGCUAACUACGUG